Cyprinus carpio carpio is the source of this 443-nucleotide long non-coding RNA. Lineage: Eukaryota; Metazoa; Chordata; Actinopteri; Cypriniformes; Cyprinidae. The record is from Ensembl.
AUGAGCGUCACUUCCUGGGAUCCCGUUUCGCUUCUGGUUCAUGGACUGAGGGCUGCUGUGAUUUUGGCUUUGCAGGACGAUUGCGGCAACUGUAGUUAUCUCCGUGGCUGCAGAUAUUGUGGCUUUGACUUAUUGUUGGUGGCGGCGUGUGUCUCGCAUCUGCAUAUGCGACUACAUUCAGAUGACGACUGUAUAUGCUGAGUUAUUCUCCUUGCGUAUCCUGAGCUUCACCGGCUGAGUGAUUAAACCGAAACUAUACUUCGCAUUGCAUCUAUGGAGUAUUAUCUUCACUUCUACUGACUCCCGGGUCCCUGUGCCUGUUAUCUGGUAGGUCUAAUUAAGGUGGGUUUUAUUACAUAAAUGUUUUAUGGUGACUGGUUAACAUGACUAGUUUUCCCCUGUGUUGUAGAGUGAUAGGGGCACGCAGUGACGUCACCGCUGUC